AGCGAACGCUGGCGGCAGGCCUAACACAUGCAAGUCGAACGGAUCCACCGGGAUUAGUGGCGGAUGGGUGAGUAACACGUCGGAACGUUCACUUUGGUUCGGAACAACUCAGGGAAACUUGAGCUAACGCCGGAUGUGCCCUUCUGGGGAAAGAUUUAUCGCAAUUGGUGCGGCCCGCGUCUGAUUAGCUAGUUGGUGAGGUAACGGCCCACCACGGCGACGAUCAGUAGCUGGUCUGAGAGGAUGAUCAGCCACACUGGGACUGAGACCCGGCCCAGACUCCUACGGGAGGCGGCAGUGGGGAAUCUUGCGCAAUGGGCGAAAGCCUGACGCAGCCAUGCCGCGUGAAUGAUGAAGGUCUUAGGAAUGUAAAAUUCUUUCAGCGGGGACGAUAAUGACGGUACCCGCAGAAGAAGCUCCGGCUAACUUCGUG
This 433-nucleotide ribosomal RNA is filed under the name uncultured bacterium. RNAcentral describes it as "partial 16S ribosomal RNA". It matches the Rfam family "Bacterial small subunit ribosomal RNA", at positions 29 to 507 of the family's 1533-position model. The record is from RNAcentral.